This 253-nucleotide ribosomal RNA is filed under the name uncultured bacterium. RNAcentral's name for it is "partial 16S ribosomal RNA". It matches the Rfam family "Bacterial small subunit ribosomal RNA", at positions 524 to 776 of the family's 1533-position model. The record is from RNAcentral.
UACGGAGGAUGCAAGCGUUAUCCGGAAUGAUUGGGCGUAAAGCGUCCGCAGGUGGCAAUGUAAGUCUGCUGUUAAAGAGUCUAGCUCAACUAGAUAAAAGCAGUGGAAACUACAUAGCUAGAGUACGUUCGGGGCAGAGGGAAUUCCUGGUGUAGCGGUGAAAUGCGUAGAGAUCAGGAAGAACACCGGUGGCGAAGGCGCUCUGCUAGGCCGUAACUGACACUGAGAGACGAAAGCUAGGGGAGCGAAUGGG